Molecule: ribosomal RNA, 490 nt
Filed under: uncultured bacterium
Lineage: Bacteria
Description: partial 16S ribosomal RNA
Rfam family: Bacterial small subunit ribosomal RNA
Source: RNAcentral
AUUGAACGCUGGCGGCAGGCAUAACACAUGCAAGUCGAACGGUAACAGGGAUCAGCUUGCUGAUUCGCUGACGAGUGGCGGACGGGUGAGUAAUGUCUGGGAAACUGCCUGAUGGAGGGGGAUAACUACUGGAAACGGUAGCUAAUACCGCAUAACGUCGCAAGACCAAAGAGGGGGACCUUCGGGCCUCUUGCCAUCGGAUGUGCCCAGAUGGGAUUAGCUAGUAGGUGGGGUAACGGCUCACCUAGGCGACGAACCCUAGCUGGUCUGAGAGGGUGACCAGCCACACUGGAACUGAGACACGGUCCAGACUCCUACGGGAGGCAGCAGUGGGGAAUAUUGCACAAUGGGCGCAAGCCUGAUGCAGCCAUGCCGCGUGUAUGAAGAAGGCCUUCGGGUUGUAAAUUACUUUCAGCGGGGAGGAAGGGAGUAAAGUUAAGACCUUUGCUCAUUGACGUUACCCGCAGAAGAAGCACCGGCUAACUCCGUG